This 456-nucleotide ribosomal RNA is filed under the name uncultured bacterium. RNAcentral describes it as "bacterial SSU rRNA". It matches the Rfam family "Bacterial small subunit ribosomal RNA", at positions 1036 to 1498 of the family's 1533-position model. The record is from RNAcentral.
AGGUGCUGCACGGCUGUCGUCAGCUCGUGUCGUGAGAUGUUGGGUUAAGUCCCGCAACGAGCGCAACCCUCGUGUUUAGUUACUAACAGUUCGGCUGAGGACUCUAGACAGACUGCCUGGGUAACCAGGAGGAAGGUGAGGACGACGUCAAGUCAUCAUGGCCCUUACGGCCAGGGCUACACACGUGCUACAAUGGGGUAUACAAAGAGCCGCAAUACCGCGAGGUGGAGCGAAUCUCAUAAAAUAUCUCCCAGUUCGGAUAGCAGUCUGCAACUCGACUGCUUGAAGUUGGAAUCGCUAGUAAUCGUAGAUCAGCAAUGCUACGGUGAAUACGUUCCCGGGUCUUGUACUCACCGCCCGUCACACCAUGGGAAUUGAAUUCAUUCGAAGCGGGGAUGCUAAAAUAGCUACCUUCCACAGUGGAUUUAGUAACUAGGGUGAAGUCGUAACAAGGUA